GGCCGAUUGAGGAAGGCAAUGGACCUGGCUUAAACGGAUUUGCAGCAAUUUCCAAUCGAGUCAACUCGGUAAGAUUCGUCAAGAACUCAGGAAUUGAACCAUUGAGGAGAUUGUUAGCUAUAUUUAGCACUUGUAAUUUGGGUAAACGGCCUAAACUCGCCGGGAUUUCACCGGAGAAAUUGUUUGAAUUAGCAUCAAGGACGGUCAAGUU
Molecule: unclassified non-coding RNA, 211 nt
Filed under: Hevea brasiliensis (rubber tree)
Lineage: Eukaryota; Viridiplantae; Streptophyta; Magnoliopsida; Malpighiales; Euphorbiaceae
Source: RNAcentral